Mastomys coucha (southern multimammate mouse) is the source of this 575-nucleotide long non-coding RNA. RefSeq lists it as uncharacterized. The record is from RefSeq and is a predicted model, not a curated record. NCBI's taxonomy places the organism in Eukaryota, Metazoa, Chordata, Mammalia, Rodentia, Muridae. The transcript has 2 exons.
AGAAAAGCCUGUGGCUGCCAGCAAAGCCUUCUGCCUCUGACACCUGAGUCCAAGCACGCAUCUCCUGCCCUAGGCCUUUGCUUAGCGAUGGUGCAGCCAUCCUGAGCCCGUGAAAUUAUGGCCAUCCAUUGGUUAUGCAAAGUGCGCUCUGUGAAGAAAGCCUAGAGUUUUCAAUAACUGGUUCUCAACUUGUGAUUCAUGGACCACUAACACUGGCAUCAUUUGGGAUCUUGUUGGAAAUUCAGAUCUGAGUCCCACCCAACCUACAGAGAUAAAAUGCUCUGUGUUUUAUGAAACCCUUUCUGUUGGCCAGAGUCUGUGCAGGUUUGAGAACACAUACUUAGGGCGAGAACUCCCCUGGUUGUGACAGAAGACAAUGUGCUACAGUCGGAGGCAUCCCUGGAAAAUGGCAUGAGGAAGCACAUGGGCUCAAUUAAGGAAGACCAUAGCUCACAGAUGCUCAAAUAUGACCCCUGGGUCAUCAGUGAGCAUAAAAGACAGGGAAGGUGUUCAUGUUAGCCCCUGGGGUGGAGAUAUGAAAUAAAAAAUUGCAUGUGUGCAUAUCCUUAACUGAA